This 253-nucleotide ribosomal RNA is filed under the name uncultured bacterium. RNAcentral describes it as "partial 16S ribosomal RNA". It matches the Rfam family "Bacterial small subunit ribosomal RNA", at positions 524 to 776 of the family's 1533-position model. The record is from RNAcentral.
UACGUAGGGACCAAGCGUUGUUCGGAUUUACUGGGCGUAAAGGGCGCGUAGGCGGCUUAACAAGUCACUUGUGAAAUCUCCGGGCUUAACUCGGAACGGCCAAGUGAAACUGUCAAGCUAGAGUGCAGAAGGGGCAAUCGGAAUUCUUGGUGUAGCGGUGAAAUGCGUAGAUAUCAGGAGGAACACCGGUGGCGAAGGCGGGUCUCUGGGCAACAACUGACGCUGAGGAGCGAAAGCGUGGGGAGCGAACAGG